UAUCGUUGAUAAAACACAGAGAGAAAUUUAAUAUAUAUAGGUGAUGUAAAACAAGAAAGAUAGUACGUAGUGUAGUACCCCUGACCUAAUUUGCCACUUGAAUGAGUCUUGAAGUAAUUGGGGCAUCGGACCACAUAUAUUCACAGGAGGGCCAAUUCAUUCACCGAUGGGUUGCUGGCAUUUACCAAUUCAAGGCUAGAUCGAGUCAAGUAGUGACUGAUGUGAUCAGCACCUCGUCAUGCACCUCUCGUAUCGAUCUCUUCCACCACAGAAAAGAGAUGGGCAAGCUGUAGCUAUAGCUAGCUAGGAGAGACUUGACAGAGGUGAGGGAUGAGUUUUAAAAGUGUGUAGGUUAAUUAUUCAGGCCGGUGAUCGAGAUCGCUGAGUACUGGUUUGAUAUGAACAGCGCGCAGAAGAAGGAUCGAUCUUUCCCGAUCUCUAUGAAUUUAGUUUACUUUAAGAACCUGCAGGCUGAUGCUUCUGCAUGCAUGCCUGUGUAUUACUAUUAUUGAAUGCUUAAUUAAUCAGUAUGACCUAAAAAGAAUUAACACUA
This is a long non-coding RNA of Rosa rugosa (rugosa rose), 553 nucleotides long. RefSeq lists it as uncharacterized. The record is from RefSeq and is a predicted model, not a curated record. The transcript has 2 exons. NCBI's taxonomy places the organism in Eukaryota, Viridiplantae, Streptophyta, Magnoliopsida, Rosales, Rosaceae.